GAGGACGUGUGGAAAUCUUCUUGGGUCUCCCUGCUCGUUGGGAUUGAUUUGGCUCAAUACAAGUGCAGGUGGAUUUUCAGAAAUGCCUGAUGUUCAUUGCGAGGUCAGAUGGGAAGCCCAGCGCUGUUUGUCCACUUCUCUUUACUGUCAUCUCUCACUGUCCAGCGUGCUGGGCUUCGCUGUUCUGAAAAAUGGAUGUGGGCGCUUGACAGGUUGCUUUACUAGUCUGGUAGUGACACCACGUAGCUGUUGCUCCUCGAGCUCCGAAUACUUCAGUGGUGACCUGGGUGAAAUACAAAUAAACACACAAUUGGAUUGACCUAGCAUAUCAAAGAUCUUGGUAUGCUGAAAAUGUUUGUUUUUAGGAUGUUUGUGCAGUCUGAAGAGCUCUGUACCUUAAACCCAAUUUGCAGUGGACUGUGACCAUGUUUAAGCUGUGAAAAAUAAAAGAUCAACCCAAAG
Molecule: long non-coding RNA, 462 nt
Filed under: Apteryx owenii (little spotted kiwi)
Lineage: Eukaryota; Metazoa; Chordata; Aves; Apterygiformes; Apterygidae
Description: lncRNA (ENSAOWG00000008335.1)
Source: RNAcentral